Molecule: long non-coding RNA, 257 nt
Filed under: Capsicum annuum
Lineage: Eukaryota; Viridiplantae; Streptophyta; Magnoliopsida; Solanales; Solanaceae
Description: long non-coding RNA (CANN_LNC020844)
Source: RNAcentral
UAGGUUUGAUAAUUCUGGGCUUUGUUCAUCCAUAGUUUUUCCUUUGAAAUAUACUUGUUUUUAUUAAAUAUUCAAAAGUUGUUUGUGUGCCAUGAAAGUCUUGCCUCUAACUUAGCCGGAUGGCUUACAUAUUUAUAGGAGGAAAAGAACUAUUUACUAUUACUAACUUUACAUUUGUCCAAAAUUUAAAAGACUAAUAAUGGUCCUAAAAAGUUAAAAUGGCAAGUGCCAAAAAAACAAGAAAAGUCAAAAAGGCU